UUCCAGACUCUCACAGUGCUUAAGACCCUGAAGCUUGGGCUGGGAAGAUAACUCAGUGGGUUCAGGAUGAUGCUGUAUAGAGGGCAGACUUAGAUCUCAAUACCACAGGUCCAAGUCGGAAGACCGAAGAAGCUGGGUUGUGACCUCAACAAAGGAUAGCAGCAGCAGUGACAGCAGCAACAACAGAGCAGAUGAACAAAACCCCAAGACAGAAAGGGUCAUUGAGUGACUGGGAGAUUAAGGUAGGUAGGGUGGCUGGCUAUCACACUUCACAAAUUGUGUCUGGGAUUACAAGGACACUCAACACACUUGUUUUCG
Molecule: long non-coding RNA, 318 nt
Organism: Peromyscus californicus insignis
Lineage: Eukaryota; Metazoa; Chordata; Mammalia; Rodentia; Cricetidae
Exons: 3
Source: RefSeq, a predicted model, not a curated record